Long non-coding RNA from Cavia porcellus (domestic guinea pig), 20604 nucleotides. RefSeq lists it as uncharacterized. The record is from RefSeq and is a predicted model, not a curated record. The transcript is spliced from 5 exons. NCBI's taxonomy places the organism in Eukaryota, Metazoa, Chordata, Mammalia, Rodentia, Caviidae.
CAGUGAACAAAUCUGGGCUUUGUCCUGUGAGCCCAUAGCCGGUCUCUAUAAGCCCCUGCGAUCCUUGGGUCUGGGACCCCAAGUCCCUUCUCAGAAGGGCUGAGUGGGCUUCUCCACGUCUUCUUCAUCCACUCUGCUCCAUGACCUUCACCCCAGGGCUGGACCUACUUCCGGGACACCAGGCUGCCAGGGAGUUCCUGCCAGGGAGGCCGGAGGCUGACCUGCGUGUGGCCUGCAGCGAGGGGCCUGUCUGUCCACCGUGCCAGCUCUUUCAGGCCAGGCCGGCUCUUCCGUCUCUCACGCUGUGUCCUUGAAAACACGUGGCUUUUCCACUGUGUGGAUGGAAUUUUUCACUGUGCAGAACUCCUCCUCCUCCUCCACAGACUGUUUCACCACCUGACUAGAAGAAUUGGACCCAGAGAGAAGAAAAUAACUCUCCAGCUCAGGUGACUGUCGCCAGCCGCUGUUUCUGGCUCAGCUGUUUCUCCAGGACACGCAGGCGUCUGCAGAGCAAAGCCCGGAGAAGACUCUGGCCGUAACGCGGUUUCCUGCCCCUGGACAGGCACAGUCCAGCUCAUCCUCCGAGGCCAGCAGAACUUCCAAAAGGGUGCAGAUGGAUUCAUCUUCCCACUAAUGGGAUAAAGAACAUCAGAAUGGUAAGCAAUCCACAGGAGAAACCAACAGACAAAGAUUCUUCUACUGUUCAUUCCAGUCUUGCAAAUCUACUUGAGAGGCUUCAGAGAGAGGAAAGCUCGACAGUGGUAUCAUUCUUCCAGGACAGGUGAGGCAGCAAUGAGAGUGGACACUGUGACAUCAUCUGAGACUGUCAGAUCAUCUGUGUGUUAUCAUGGAGGGGCCAGAGUGACAGAAAACAAUGAGAAAAAGUGUCCCAAAAGUGCAGUUUCGGGACAUGCGAGCAAAGGGGCUGAGGCCCAGUGCAUUAGUGCUUUCUCACGGCAGGGCCCCUGACCUGGGCUCUCUCCAGGGCUGGGCUAAUCUGAGGGCUCUGCUCAGCCCCGAGGGCUCCAGAAGAAACUGGGUUGAACUCUGGCACUUGGAGGCGGAUGCUGGCAUGGGGGCUGAGAAAUGUGUGGAUGGAGCUCAGACGGAGGAACUGGGGCUCAGGACAUACGUGGUGAGGCUCACAUUGCAGGAAAAGGCUUUUCUGGUUUUCCAAGAAGCAACACAAUCUUUUAGCCACCUUACAAGGGAACUCUGUUAAAUGUAGAAAGUCCCGCUACUGGGGACAUGGAGUACAGAGAGGAGAGGGAGGACUGGGUCCCGGCCUCUCUUCCUUUCUCAUGGCACAGCACCACACGUAGACAAAGGGGCAGAAGAAGAGCUGCACCGUGAAAGGUAAGGCACUGUCCUCCGAUCGCAGCCGGGACCUGAGCGCCCUGCUCCUGAGCAACCACAUCCACAGCUCUGAGGAUUUCUGGGGAGGCCUAGGAGCGAGGCUUCAGGGAAAGAACUCUGACCUGGGGACCCUUCUCAGGCUGUGCUUGGAGUGAAGCUGUGACUGGCCCGGGAAGGAUGAUGUCCAGGAGGGGCAGUGUGGGUCACAGCGGAGCAGUACAGCUGACAUUUGCAGGUGAACUUAGGGGUCUAACUGGGAGUGCAGUUUACUUCUCUACCGCUGAGUCCUCAUUAGAUGAAGUGUCCUUUCCUCCCCAUGAGGUGGCUGUGAGGACAGUGGGGGUUGGUGGAUGUGGAAGCAUCAUGUAAGGGAUGCAAGUGUCCACUCCUUGUUCCUGGCUAUCACUGUGAGGAGCCUUGGACACCGACAGCUGGCCUCCAGGUCGAAUCUGAUGUAGUGUCUCCGAUGUGACAUUCUGCUCAACCUCCUCACUUUCCACCAGACACUGUGCUCUGGGGAGGCCCCACCCACUGGCUGGCAGAGGCAGGCAGAGGGGACCACGCUUUCAUCCACUGGAUGUGCAGAAGCUGCUGGAGAUGCUGGUCAACAAGAAAGGCAAACAGAAAAUGUGCCAGGGAAAAUGCAAGGGUGGCUCAUUUUUCCUACAGUGAACACAGGGCACCCCCGGGUUUCCCUGAGGAGCCUGUUGAGGUCACUGGGUGACAAACUCACCUGUGCGCAGCCUCCUGCCACACAAAGGGCAAAGCAGAGUAGCUUCUUGAGUCUCGGCAGGUCCCUUUCCACAAGGUCUCUGGAGCCAUUUCCAGCUCUUCUGGGGCCUGCCCCCUCUGCACAGUGAGUCCCUGGUGGCCACUGCCCGGGUCACUAGAAGAUCUUCAUCUUCAUGAUCUCAGUCUAUUAAAUUUAAUGACACUAUGUCAAGUCAUGAAGGACUCAUGCUGGGCUCACGCUCACCACGACAGCCCCAAGGACCAGAGCCAUCCUGCUAAGAGCAGGCGGGUCAGAGACAGGGAUAGUGAUCAGGCUUUGCUGUCCCAAGAGCCUGUGCCCCACUCUGGUCAAGGCCUUCAUGAGUCAAUGGAUACCCGUGCCUCGUUUUACAUCGACCACCGCUACACAAGCGCUCUGCAAAGAGCUGUCCCUUGGCAAACACCACAGACGUUUCAUACUUUUCUUCUGAGAAAAAAUUUCUUGCAGAAGAAAUGCAUUAAAAGAAAAAUUGCUUUAUGAGUACACCCUCUUCAUGUUAAUGGCUUCCUCUGUGUAAGACGCCAUUGCUUCCUGAUGUUCUUUCUCCUAGUUAGUAACUUCUGUGUCCUCCUGGCACUCCAGAGAAAACCAUGUUGACAGACCCAACACUAAUGGACUCAGAGAUGGACACAGAAAUUCUUGUAAAUUCUCUGUAUGAGCUAGUUGACUGUCAGAGAAGCCUCAGACUCCCAAAGAGACCCAAACAGGAACUCUGCUGGAAAUAAACAUGAAUUCCCACACACAGACCUCCAGAGACCUAGAGACUUGGAGAAUUAGAGACCCACACAUAGAGACCCAGCCUCUAUAAAACCCACAGUGAUGGACCUCAACCAAGACACAGCUGAGACUCUCCUGGAGACCCGCAUUCAGCAACUCCCCCAAAGACACACUUUGAGACCCCUUUCAGAGGUGCAUGGUGAGACUCCCUCAGACCCUACCCGAGAUUCCCACAGAGAGCCCCAAAGAUCUUUCCAGAUAAGCCCACAAUGGCACCCUCGCAGAGCCCCCUUGAGAUUGCUAGACUACAAAUUCCCUUACAAGGACUUCCCCUAGAAAUCACACAACUUCACCAAGCUCACACAAACUCUGUAAACACCUGUGAUGGAGACUUGUACUAAGGAGACUUGUACCCAGAGUCCCCUCAGGGAAUUAAGAUGGAAAUCUCCCCCAGGGGCCUUGGACUGCCACCUAGUCCUCAUACACAGCUCCCUCUCAGAGGUGUCACCCCAGAGCUUACAGAUCUCCUGGAGACAGCUGGAAGGAUGACCAUGCACACAGGGCUCCCCUGAAGUACACACCCCCUCAACACCACACAGGCCAUUCCUCAGAGACCUCACACAGAGACCCCCACACAGAGCAUGCACAGAGACCAGAGAGCUACAGAGACACCGUGGAGUGACCUUCCAAGAGCACACCCAGGCUCAACGCAUGCUUACAACAGAGACCUUAUACCAUUACCUUACCCUUUCCCCAGGAUGACCACACAGGACUCACGCAGGGAUAAGAUCCUUGCACACACAAGAUACUGACGCAGUCAGCACUCAGAGAGGGUUCUCCCAGGACCUCCCACUGUUCUAGAAUUUCACAUUCUUUCAGAGCUCUUCUCCUGAGACAGCCUAGCCUUAGAGGUGCAGAUAGAACACACGCACUGCAGCACAGCGCCGUGCAGUGCCUCAGAGGCUGCACCUUGGCACACGGUGGCUGCCUGCACAUUUUGAGACACCUUUGCAGAAAUUCACACCAACACCUCACAAGUUUCCAUGAGUACCUGGCACGGCAAGCUUCACGCACAGCAUCCCAGUUCAUUCUGCCUUCCUGGCAGGGCUGAACCUACUGAGCCAACAGGCAUCCCGGGGAGGGCAACAUUGGCGAGGCCUGCCCCCAGCAUUGUACCCCUCACAUGGUCAACAGGGCCCCAAGUGGAGAAUGAGUUCCCCUCCUUUUGUAAUGCGAUCGCCUCAGAAUAGAAUAAUCACAGAUUCCACACAGAGACCCGGGAGUUUCUUUCCUCUGCAGGGGUUCCUUAGCUUUGGCUGUGACCCGCAGUUCAGAGAAUUCCAAUAAAAGUUCCAGACUCUGGGCAGGCUACGUUCUCCCUGGUACAGGGAGCACCCAAGGGGAAGUGGAGGUAAAAGAGCAUUAGGAGACUUUGGAGGACACUGCAGCACUGCCUGAUGGGACAGGGGUGUAAUAGGCACCUGGAGAGGGGCCUGGACCCAGCCCUGCAGACCCUGAAGGCCAGGCUGAUGGAGACUUGUGACUGGGACAUGUUUCUCUCCACUUCCCAGGGAUGACAGAGACCUCCUGACACUCAUCACUCAGCCCACCUUUCUAGAAGAUGCCUGUUCCUGCUUAUGUGCCAGGUUCUAGGCCAGGCAGGGGGACAUAAGGACAGCACCUCUUCCUGCCCUGCACAGAGCCAAAUGAUUAAGCCUGUGGCCAGGCGACCUGGCAGGGUGACAGGGAGGAGCUGGCCCGAUAGGUGCAAAGAGCCAAGGCUUCCCAGAGGAGCAGGCAUCUGUGCUAAACUGAGAGGGACACACAGGAGCCUGUCAGAGGAACAAGAUGGAGCAGGUUCCAGAAACACACGCGGUACCAGGCAAAGAACAAGGUUGCGGCUGGUGGGAGGAGCGCCAGGAAGUUCCCAGGGCCGGAGACCCUUGCCGCAGCUCCCUCGAAGAAGCCCGCUGUAGAAAUGAAAAUGACUGAAGACCUUUCCUCAGUGGGUUUAUACAGCAAAAGCACAGUGCUUUUGGUCACAGUGUAUGUAUGCAUCCGUGUUUCAGAGAUCACAGAGGCUGUGCAGGGUGUUCCUGCAGAGGGGGGAACCACUGUGCACCCCAAACUGAAAAGAAAUCAUAUGAGAGGGGCAACCUCAAGUCUGAGGUGCAGCACAGAUGGAUCAGAAACCUGACAGGCAGGGGCAGUGGGGAGGGGAGGAAGCGGGGCUCCGCAGGGUGUUUGUCCAGACCCGCAGACCCCAGCUCCUCUGAACACUGAGGUCAGUGUGGGUCUGCACACAGCCAGAGCUCUGCACCCCAGGGCGUGGCCCCAGCUCCCUGACUUGUGCUCCAUGGGCUUGGAGGACACACAGCAAAAUGCCUGCCUGGGCCUGUGGCUGUGUGAGUAGGAGACAGCGUCUUGCUUUGCGCUGUCUUAGGUUUGGGCGCCGGGGCAUCGGGUGAGAAGAGAUAGCUCCCUCUGGUCGGGUUUGUGUGGAAGAGGUAGAUGCUACCUCAGCUGAUGCUAGCUCAUCUUUAGAUCUUCGGUAGGCUGGACAUUGAUGUUGGCCACUCAGUGGCCAUGUCAGCACCUGUUCAAAGCCAUUGCAGGGCACAGGAAAAGACAGAAACACAUGUAGGAAAACCAGUUCUUUUCUUAAUGACGGAAGAGGUAAUGGUUAACUCCUGUAAUUACAACAGUGAGACUUAUUUCUGUGUGUUACAUAAGCAGAGAUGUAUGUGAUUCGAUUAGACUGACAUAUUUUUGGGGCACUUUUAUGUAUCAUAAUACUUACUAUUCCUGGGAUUUGACACAGAAAAUAUCAGGCGUUAAGGAAGACAAGGAAGUGAAUGCCCACUACUGGGGUGAUUAGAAUUUUACUUUUUCUCAUGUGGUGGUCAGUUACUAACAGCUCUAGAAUUUUAGCACGGAUGGAUUGAAAAGUGCUCACUUCCACAGAAUUCCAGGUGUAAUUUCCCAUCUUACCCAGUCAAACUGGUCCAGGUCCCAGACUCAGCCUGUGCUGUGUAUGUCGCCCUCUGGUGGCCUGUUCCUUAUGCAGUAAUCCAAGUGGAUGGCUUCACUGUAUUUAUUAAAAAUAAGAUCUUUUUAAAAACUGGCAGAGCUGUUGAAGGAAUUAGAAAUAUACAACCAGAGACACAGGAUCUGCGUCUAUGUUGAGUGCACAUCAUGCGUGUGUGUUUUGCGAUGUGCAAAUCUUUACAUCCCUCUAGGAUUUAAACUCUGGCAGGGUUAGAAAGGAGCGGUAAGUAGGCAGCACAGAAAAGUGUGCCGGUCCUCUGCGCUGUGUCGCUGACCGCUUCCUUCGAUGCGCUGUCCUGGCAGCUUGUGAAAUGGCACCUGGCAUAGACGGGCAGGUUUGCAUCUGCCGCCCGGUUCCGGCGCACUGAACCACACACCUGCCCUCGCCAGCCCUGUCCUCAGGGCUCACCACACUGCCCUGUGGGAGCUGAGACCUCGGAUCAGCACCCGUGACCCUGGCUCCUGCUCCUGCUGAGAGUCCUGAGCGAGCUUAGAGCUGGGGCCCUUGAGGCCCUGUGCCUGCUGGUGUCACCCUCGGAGGGGACUCAAAAGGCCCAACCUUGUGCUCUACAGCCCCACACAACCCCCAGUUCCUCGCCUGACAGGACCGUCAGCAUAUCUUUCAGUGUAAGAACGCUAGCAAUAGCCUUCCUCAGUUUCUGCUUGUUAUAAGUUAUUUCUCAGACAUUUCAAAGGAAUUUUGGUGGCUAUAAAAUCCUAGCACUUCAAAAGGUCAUUCUAUCCACUCCUGGAUUUGUUGCUGUGAAAAAAUCAGCCAUGAGUCAUACUUUUGGUCUUUUUAUCCUUUUUUUCGUGGGCGCUCUUGAUAUUUCCCUUAAGACUGGUUUUAAGCCAUUUUGCUGGGCAGGGCAGAGGGGUGGGUGUUGCAGAAUCAGUUUAACACAUUUCAUCAAGGUAGUAUAAAUAUUGGUCACUCAUUUUAACACUUUCUGCCAUUUCUAUUUCACUUUUUCAGAGUAUUUCUCUUGCGUGUUCAGUUUUGAGCAUGCAUCACAUUUCCUUAUGGAAUUACAUUUUUUCUUCUCUUUGCUUCAGUGUGGCUCUUUGCUACUGAGCUCUCCUAACUCAGCACCUCCCAGCUCUGCUGUAUCAGAUCAGCUCCAUCACACCCAUUACCUGGCUCCUUCAUUCCCUCAGUUCUGCCGUGUACACUUGGUUUUUAACACAGACUCAAAUUCUCUGAUGAUGAACUCCUGCCUCCUCCUUCCUUCCCUGGCCUUGUUUUUUCCUCUGUGUUCUUCAACACAGCAGUCCCAGUUACGUUAGAGACCUGGGUGAUCCCAACAUCCACACUGUGCGGAAGUCUGAUGUAUUUUUCCUCUCUUCCUACCCGUCAUGUUUUAUCACCCCACACACAUCUGGUUAGGAGUGUUAGGCCUUAUGUAUAAAAAACCUUCAAGAACUCCAUGGAAUAGCACUUUCCAUAGAGAUAGUUUCCUCUUUCCUCGCCUGUAAAUGGAAUAAAAAGAUCACAAUUUCAGUACAGCUACAAAUUGAAGAGGCUGGGACGAUAUUGAGAUUUGAAUUUGAUCCUGAGCACCUUUGUUCUUGCUCCUCUUUAGAUGUAGGUUUCCUGUCUUCUGGAUGGAACAAUGCCUUCAGCCCUGAAUCCUGCCCAAGAUCAGGCCCCCGAACCUCCUGUGUUCAGAGGCAGGCUUUUGGAAGGCAAUUGAAUGUUGGGUGCUGUAUUCAUCAGUAGACACAUCUGCUAGUGGGUCCGGUAGCUGAGUGUGCUCAGGAGAAGCCAGUCACCAGAGGUGUGGCCUGAAAGGACACAUCUCCUUUGGCUCCUCCCUUUGCUCUCUCCUUUCUCCUUGCUGUGGGGUGAGCAGCUGUUCUUCAUCUGCGCCUCCCCACCAUCCUGUUUUUGCCUUGGAGCCCACGGACCACGGACUGAAAACAUCAGCCAGACUGGAACCUCUCCUCCUUAAGGCUGUAGGUGUGGGGAAUUGUGUCCAAGGGCAGCAAAGACACUUCAACACACACACACACACACACACACACACACACACACACACACACUUCUCGCAUGUGCUAAGCCUGUUAUGUUUGAAGCAGGUCUUCUCCCCAGCUGGCCUUGUAUCCUAGCACUGUAAGAUCUUACGAGCAUUUUCCUGACUUGCAGAGGCCCAGAGUCAAGCUUGUGCACUCUCGCAUGGGUCUAGAACUCAGCACGCCACACACGGCAUGAUGUCUUCUAAAGUAAAGCCAUCUGUGUUUUAGAGGCCUCUGAAGUUGUGACAUGCUGUCACUCUAUCCCAGCAGGACCAUUAGAAGCUCCUACGUGGACCCUGAUGAGAUCUCUGCAUGCAGCAGAGAUGCAGAGGCCUCCUGCUGCGUGUGGUUGCCAGCGAGGGAAGGAGGAUGGAAGAGUGCGGUCAGCCUGUCCUGCCUGCUAUGUGGCGUGCCAGUCACUAAAGUGGCCAGUUCUGUAGCAGAGAAACUUCCGUUUCAGAAACACAAAUCAAACCACUUCUUUCCAGUUCUCCUUGUUCAGGAAGAUUUAUUCUAGAAGAUUUAUUCAGAAGAUUUAUUGGGGAAAGGGCUUGGCCAAGGUCUAGUGCCCGUUUUCUUCUUCUUUUUUUUUAUUUAAAAGGAAAAAGAGAAAAAACAAAACAAAGCAAAACAGUAUAAGGGUACAAGUAAUACAGAACUACAAAGAAAAAACAGUAAGAAAUCCCCAUUUAAUAGAUUACACAUUAUCAUCUUAGAGAUAGUUGUUCAAGUCACAGGAUUAAAGCAUACAAAGUGGACAUUCAAACAGUGAGACUGCAAACAGUUGUGUUCAAUGAUCCAAUCAAAUACAUUAACAUGGUCAUCUAUUUAACACACCUAAACACACUUGCAAUUGUAUCCUUUAGAGCACUUUCUUUCCUUCACUUUUUUUUUAUUUAAAGAGAAGAAAAAAAAAAGAAAGGACAUAAAAAAAUGCAGUAAAAGGGUACAAAUAAUACAGUAUUUCUAGAAAAAAAUAUAUACAGUAUGAAAUCACCAGUUAACAGGCUACACAUUAUCUUCCCAGAAACAGUUGUCCAUAUCAUAGAAUUCAAGCAUAUAAAGUGAACAUUCAUACAGUGGAAUUGGAGACAGUUCCGUUCAAUGAUCCAACCAAAGCUCAGUUAUAUGGUUUUCCAUCCUACACUCUCGAACAUACCUGGGGUUAUAUCCCUUAAUCCACCUUUCUUUCCUCUCUUUUUUACAGUAACAAUUAGACUUUUAGGGUUUUAUUACUCUCAUGGUUCUUAUUACUUUUUUGAAGAGAAUAAAAAAUGUGACUAAGCAAAACAGAGUCACUUAGAACAGAAGGGUGGGCAUAGCACGUGAUACAAAAAUAGAAUAGCAGAUGAUCAAAAGUGGUUACCAUUGUGCCUCUUGCUAUUUUCAAACUGAGUUGUCUAUAUCAUCAGGUAUAAUAGAAUUGAUCAAAACAAUAUGGAACAAAACCAAUAGAAUCUACACUGAGGAUCUUACAGGACUUCAAAAAAAAAAGGAUGAUAGUCAAUCUAUAUUGGGCAUCAUAGUAUAUCUUAUUGCCUUCAAAGUGAUUGCCUAUACCCUCAAACUUGAUACUAUCAAACAAAAUUGAAUAUAUAAUAAUCAGACAGAACAAGAUGGGGAGAGCAAUACUGGGGUUCAAGUCAGGUUAAUAGGACAACAAAAAAUUUCUAGUGCCUGUUUUCUGGGAAGGGUCUGCCUGUCAUUCUGUCUUUCUCUUUGUCUCCAUGGAGACACAGUUCAAGAGUUCAGGACUAUUUAAAAGCACAGGAAAGGUACCUGGGUCGUUUUUCCAUCCAGCACCCACCAAGCUCUCUGCUUUCCCUCUGCCUGCUCCUCCCUUGAGUGUUGCUUCAUUGUUCAGUCCACGAUUGUGUGUGUGUGUGUGUGUGUGUGUGUGUGUGUAUUUGUGAGCCACCACAAAGCCUUUUGUGAGCAAGAGAAAUUAAAUGCAUACACCUCAACCACUUCAUCUGCAAGCUUAUAUAGCUUUGUUGCUAAAAAAAGAAGGGUCUAACUGUGGGAAAAUGGAAGCACAGUCGAAGGACUGCUCAUAAAGAAAAACGGCUGGAAUGCCUCCAAUUAGCUGUGCUCAUUUACGUGCUGUGGAUUUUCACACAAACGACAGGUACAAUGUUUGUUUCUAUGUUUAAUCAACCUAGGGUCAGACCUGAGGCAAGCUCUGAAGAGCUACUUUGGCCUCUGAGCUGCACCAGCACAGGUUCCUGGUGCUAUAGCUUUGGUCUUGGGGCCUAAAGACCCCUGUGUUAGAGGCUUGGUCUCCAGGGAUGUGCUUUUGGGACCUGGGCAACCUUUAAGAGUUGGGACUCCUGGAGAGCUUCAGAUGUGCCCCCAAACCUGUCUAGGUGUGCCCUUAGAGGUGUUCCUUGGAGAAAUUUUUGGGGUCUGUUCACUGCUUCCACUUUUCACUUUGUGGCCAAGAGGUGAGUGAGUUUGCGCCACUGUGCUGUCCUGCCGCGAUGUGCUGCCAUCCCACAAGUCCCAAAGCAAGAAAGCCAUGAACUGGGGCCUCCGACACUGUGGGCCGAAGUAAGCCUUCCCUUAUAGGCUGAUUAUCUUAGGUAUCAGUCAUAGUGACAGAAAGGUGCCUAAACACCCGAUUUUUACAGAAUCUUCAGGAAAAUGGACUUUGCCACACACAGCAGAGCCUGUCUCACAGAAAACUACAUCUUUUGGUCUAUGUUUAGAGCUCUCUUGCUGACCUUCUGUUCUUUUUCUAUCCUUCAAUAACUCCUUCGAAACAAUUCUGUGGGACAGAAAGAAUGAGACCUGAGACUGAAUCCUUUUGCAAUGCACAACCUGUGAGGCCACUGCUCAGAAAAAAGCAUAAAUGACUAACAGUUUAACCGACUUCUUGAAAAUGUUGUCACCCUUGGUGGUAUUAUGUACAACGUUACAGGUUCCCGCCUUACAUGCUAGCAAACAUGUUGGGGGUCACUGGAGUUUUUUCCUGGAGAAUGAGCUUCCUUUCCAGGCCCCACCUCAUUUACAGGUCCAGACUCAGCUCUAGGCAGCUGCAUUAGACAAGGAGCUGUCUGGGCAACGGUGGGUGGGAAAUGCUAUGCUCUCUAUGUGUGGGAACAGUACCUUCUGGGCAUAGUGAGGUCACUAAACAGAGAGUAUGAGUGUACUCCUUCUUAUUUUCUGCUAGUUUUAAUUUGCUGUACUCUGUUUUUCUCAAACAGUUGCAUGUGUGCACGUGUGUGAGUGAACGUGUGGACCUGUGUGCACAGAGUUCUGUAUGCGUGUUGUGUGUGUGUGUAAAUGUGUGUUGGUGCAAGGAUGUAUAUCCAUGUGGGUAGACAUAUGUGGCCCAAACGUAAGAAUAGAAGAUAAAUUCACUGAAAAAAUCAACACAUUUAUAAGUAUAGUUGGAAAUUUCAAUGUUUCUUUCAACAACUGAUAGAAUAAGUAGGCAAAAAUUUUAUGGGAGAUUUGAACAGUACUACCCACCAGGGUGCCUUAUUCUUUAAAACAACAGAAUGCAGUCUUUCCAAGGGCAUAUGGGUAUUUGUUAAGAUUGAUCACAUUUUGUACUAUAAAACAAAUGUCCCUACAUUAAAUUCAUGAUGUACAUUUUCUAAUUGUGAUGAGAUUAAAUUACAAAUCAAAAAUGAAAGAUCCCUGGAAAAUCCCUACUUGGAAACAAACACUUUUACAUAGCUUAUGGAUUUUUUAAAAAGGGAAGUUAAGGGGCUGGGGAUUUAGCUCAGCGGCAUAAGUGCCUGCCUUGCAAGCGCAUGGUUGUGAGUUCCAUUCCCAAAACUGAUUUUUAAAAAAGGGAAAUUAGGAAUUAUUUUGAACUGAAAAAAUAUCAAAAUUUAUGGCAGACCACUAAAACAGUGCUUAGGCGUUCAUGCCACUAAAUACACAUAUAGAAAAAAAGAAAGAUCUUGAAUCAAGGACCUCAGGAUCUGCAUAAAGAACCCUGAAGCAGAACUAGUGAGACCCAAAACUAGCAAAGGGAAGAAACUGAGGACCAGAGCAAAGAUCGAAGAAUUCUUUCUGAAUUUUUGCCUGAAUAAAGAGCUGGACAGGAGAUGAAGUACCAAGGUUUUACAUUUAGUAAAGUUAUUAAAAGCAGGAUUGAAGGCAGAAAAAGGAAGAUGCCCUGCAGAGUGAGUGCCAGCCAGUUUCGGUAGGGCAGUGCAGGGCAGCUGGGCAAAGGCUCACCAGCUGUGAGGCUGAUAAUCCCAUCCUGAUGUCAACGCUAGGCCCACUCUCAAAGCCCUGCUUGUCCCGGUGCCGGAAGAGCUGAAGACAGCAUUCUCUGAUUGGCCCAAGUGCAGGGCUCCAGAGCUGCCCUGUGCUUGUCCUGGGGCUCCGUAAUUGGCAGGUCACGCCCACUCACCCAGCCAUGUUGCUGUGGCCCAAUCACCCACCUAAAAGGCAGAAUGUGCUGGGGAUUUAGCUCAGCAGCAUAAGCACCUGCCUUGCAAGUCUGUGGUCGUGAGCUUGAUCCCUGGUACCGGUAAAAAUACAAUAAAUAAAUAAAUAAAUAAUAAAAGGAAAAAAAUAAAAGGCAGAAUGUCAGGACUUGGACCGACUGCUUUCCGAAUCCUUGGGUGAAUUCUUGACCUGGAGCUCUCUGCUAGCCAAAGUGGUAAUGAAAGAGUUGCUCUCGCAGUGCAUGACAUGGGAACAGCAGGAGCUCUAGCUCACACUCACAGAGUAGGACUGGGAAGAGUGAGGCACAAACUUACUCCCCGGGAGCACGGAAGGGUCAUCGUGGGAGUAACAUUUCACAGUCACACUCCAAAGUGGAGUGUAACCACAGGGUACUGGCUGACGUUCCCAGGAAUAUGGUGGGGUAAGGAUAGGAGUAUGGAAUGACCAGAGAGGAGCUUUGCCCCAUAUUCACCCCAGUGUAGGGUGGGGGUGGGGGGGUAGCCCCACCUCAGGCUCCUAGGAGUGAGGGAUGGUGGGAGGAACCCCACCUCAUGCUCCUAGGAGUGUGCGAUGGUGUGUGUGUGUGUGGGGGGGACCACCUUGACUCAUGAAUUUGGUGGAGCCUUGGGCCUGGCAGUGGGCGCACGAUGGAGGAAUGGCCAGUGCAUAGGCUGUCCUGUGGGCACAGCCCUCCCUGGUGCUUGGAGAAGGGACUGCCAAAUGCUUAUUUCCAGUCUCCUUUCUCCUCAGGGUCACCCCGAAGUCUCUGGGCUGCAGUGUUCUCAGCACCUAGCUCCAGGCCCCCAGUAAGAAUGGUGCGCUUGUUUCCAGACCCCCCAGCACCUGUGGGAUCCCUCACACCCUGCCUGUUUCAGGGGCUUUCAGCUUCUCUGAUGGCUGGGUUUGCAGAUAUCUCACUUACUGUGUGCCUCUUCCCAGUGGGGAGAGUAGAAAGGUUUCGGUCUUUUCUGCAGGUCUGGCUACCCCUGGAAUGCUGCUGCCUGCCUUGGGGGACCUAGUCCUUUCCCAAGAUGCUGUGCACCCCAGACCUGGGAGAUAAGGGUUGCCCAGGCCAGGGGCAGAUGGCUUCCCUUCCCAGCACUCUGAUCCUGAGUUUCAAUAUGGGAUCUCUGCAUUCAUCUUGCUGUGCCUGGCUUUCUCCAUCGCCUCUGACUCAGUGUACUUACUUGUGCGCUGAACUUAUCCAAGAUUCCUUCUCUCCCUGCUGCUCCCCACUUGGCCAUGACAGUUCUCUUCCAAAAUUGAAUGAGAAUACACUCAGGAGGUGUUACUAUUUUUGUUACUAGUGCUUUAGUGCUGUGCCCCCUGCUGUGGAGAUAGCAUCACAGAAGGAUCUUCUACACAUAUGGAAGGCUUUGUCCUUGUCUGAAGUCAGGUGAGCAACUGCAAAGCAUCCAGCAACUCAGGGAAGGGGGAGCAGUGUGGAUGCCGCCUGUGAUGCUCUUCUCCGCCUACACCCUGGGAGGUAACCCACGGUUAUCUGUGCAGCCACAGCUGGGUGCUGCUUGGACUCAACUGAUGGAGCCAGAGGUCCAGGUGUGGCCCAUCAUGGAGAGGCAGCCCAGACCCAUCUGGCCUGGCCACUCAUCAUGAAAUGAUGAGGGCAUGGCGCCCCAGGCUGGUGGCUGUCCCUGGUUCCCAAGGUGUGGGAGCCCAUUGUGGGGGCAUUGAGUUAAGAAAAUGUGGAGACAGGAGGCAUUGUGUGAGGGCAUACAGGGUGGAGACUGCUCUGAGUGCUUCUAAGUUUUUAAAGGAAACCUGGAAGCUGAAACUUUAAAUCAGUCCCUGUCUUUUCUGUUGUUACCACAGACCUGCUGUGUCCAGGAGCCCCAGGCCCCACUCAGUGGUAGAUUUGCCACCCUCUGAGGGGCUUAGCAGCUAAUGCGUACUUGUCCUUGGGCUGGCUUGGGUAAGGUGGGAGCUGGGCCACAGGUGCUGGCUGCAGAGGACUAGGCAGGAUGUCUGGGCCUCCCCGCUUCUCCUUCAGUCCCUCUGUCUUAGUGGGUCUGUGGGCCUGGCUGGACUGCCUGUGCUUCCACAAGCGUUUCCGGAAUUUUGAGUUAAUGUUAUGAGUUGAAACUUUAUCUACGUAUAUUCAGACCCAAAUCAUGGGAGACUCCUCAAGUAUCUCACCCUUGAGAUAAGGGCAGAUUCCCAAGAGAGUCAUGCAGUUUCUGCUGGGGAAUUCCUCGCCUCAGUUUAGAUCUUCCAAUUUAGAUCUUGCUGGAUUUAAGAAGCCAGCAAGAAGGAGGGAGCUAACUGAGACCCCAGCACCCACACAUCCUGCAAAAUGCCACCCAACACCCAAUCAGUGGAGCCAGAGGGUAAGGGUGACCCUGUCCCUUUUAGGGGUGGAGGGUGGGGCCUGCAUUGAGCGACCAGCUGGCCUCAGCCCCAGAGUGCCGCUUCAGCAUGACCUGAGGAGCUGCCACAGAAGCAGCUGCCGGGGUCAGACACUUUUGUUUAGGUCAGUUCAGUUUCCACCGGGGCAUACAUCCUGCUGUGUGGCGGUGACAGCUGUGUCCCUGGAGGGCCCACCCCCCUACACACAAGCAAACCUGCACCUCAGACUCACACUGGCCCUGGUUUCCAACGGUGCCCAGGCCUGCUGAGCCCAUCUGCUCACUCAGGACUUGUGGUCCCCACCCCAGCCACUGCCCUCACUGGCCUCCCACUGUGUGUGUGGCCUCCCCUGGGGAUGUGCGGGCAGCAAGGAAGGAGGCAGCAAUGGGACCCUGGGUGGGACAUGCUCAUCCGCCUGCCCCCCUGCACCACCCAGCCUCUUGGUGCUCAUGGGCCCCCCAUGUGUUCCAUUUUCCCUGUUGUUCUCUGCUGCCUGUCACAGUUAUGAAGUCCCUUUCCUGGGGGACAUCCAGGGGCAUCUUCUUUCUUUGUCUCUGCAACACCCCCUGAAUCCCCCAAGUGGCCCCCUCUGUCUGUUCCUUCUGGCAAUCAGUGAGGGCAGAGCCCGUGGGAGCCAUGGUGUGGCCAGCACAAGCUCCUUGGUUCUUUAACCCCAAAUCAUCCUCCAGGCCCUCACUUGGAAUUAGUGACUGUCCUCUUUCCAUUCACCCAAGACCCCUCCAUCAAGCUCUGUCCUCAGCUUUCUUGCCCAGGGCAGAAAAGAUCUGGGCCUCAAACACUGAGGGCUCCAGGGCAGUGAAGGGGGAGGAGGGGAGGCUGUCGGAGCAGUGGGCGUGUUUCUUUGUUCAAUCAUGCUUAUGCCAGACUGUGUGUCAGGACCAGCUAGACUCUCUAGAGAGUGUUCUGUAACAGAUUGCUAAGUCCAAGCUCUGGGCUUCCUGGUACAGUGGGUCAGAGAAGCCAGACCUGACAUUUUUUGUCUGUUCUUGGGGUGGGAGGCACACUUUGAGAUCUCUGUCCUGUAUGAGACACAGACUCCUGCAGUGUUAGCGCACUUGGGAGCUGAUGUCCCAAUAUGUGUUUCACAGAACCUUCUCUUUAAGGUCUAUGACAAAGCAUUUUGGGGCAAAUAGAUUUUUCUGUGCUGUGUGUGUGUGUGUGUGUGUGUGUGUGUGCAUGUGUGUGUGUGUGUGUUGGGGUUGUAACCCAGAGCCUUGUAGAGUGCUACUGAAGCUGGAUAUAGGUCAUAUAUGCAGGGCUAAAGCAAGGCCAGCUCCAAGAACAAGGAGAGCUCAAGGAAAUCUAAGCAAAGAAGCUGAUAGGCAGAGGGUUGUCAUGUGACAUCAGCCUGCUGAGUGUAUAAAUAAAUGCACCGCAGUCUUUGGCAGUUCUUUUCUUCGUGACUCUUGUGUUCAUUUCUUCAUCCUGCACCAUCUGCCCCCUAGGGAAGUUUGAGAGCUGCACGGGACGUGGCAUUUUGGUGCCUGUAACAUGGCCCUGGGGAAUGUGGAAACUUGUUACAGCAGGUAAGAGGACACCUCCUAGUGCUCUUGCAAAUAAAGCAGCCUCACAAGAGCAAAAGAGGCUCAAGAGAAGCAUAGGGGACAAAAGGGGUAUUGAUAACAAUAUUGAUUUCAUCAGGUGUAAAAUAUGGGGCAAAAACAGGAUCUUGGGGCAGUGAUUGUAAAAGGAAAUGCUUGUGGGGCUGGGGAUUUAGCUCAGUGGCAUAAGCACCUGCCUUGCAAGCAGGCGGUCAUGAGUUCAAUCCCCGGUACCGAUAAAAAUGAAAAAGACAAAAAAAAAAAAAAAAAAAUUAAAAAAAAAAAAAAAAAAAGGAAAUGCUUGUAUUACUGACUUUGUGUGUGUGUGUGUGUGUGUGUGACCCUGGGUUAGGAAAUGUCUCAAUGAUUAUACGGUUGUUAAGAUGACCCCAGAGGAUUUAGCUCAGAGCACUGUUUUAAAACUAAAUCCCUAGCAAAAAUGGAUAGUAGAAAAACAGCCCCUUGAGACUGUGUGAACCCUCUAGCUUUGUUCAGUCAGAUAAAGAAGGAGCUGCGAAGGGCUAAAAAGACCCCUCUCUAUUAGAGGGAAGUCACUUCUGUGACUUCCACUUCACAGCUGCCCAAGGUAAAACCUAUAACCUUACCUGCACCACAGGUGGCUGCCUCUGCUUUCUCAGAUCAGAAGAAUUUUGCUGCAUCACAGGGCUGAGUCACCCAGGGCCCCCCUGCCCACUGAAGUAGAAUGCUACUGCUUGUCUCAGAGACCAAGAGGUGCUGCAGGACGCAGAGAGCUUCACUGAGGUGGUGCAGCCCAACCUGGGUCUACAUGGCGGGGCAACUCUGUGCCAUGGGUGGCUCACUGGGGCCUGUGCCUCUGAGUUGGUGUCUGUGUGCCACUGGGCAGGGAGGGGAGACUGCAAUGGGCAGACAACAGGACAGAAGCCCGGUUGGCCCCGCCUCCUGUGUGCUGUGGUGGGAGUCCGCUGCUGUCCCCCAAGCCUUUAAACCUGCAGCACUUGGUGGCUGGAGGCUCUUGGGCUAGCAGGCAGGUGAGCAGGCAGCAACAGGAGAGUGAGGCCCUCACCUGGCUUUGCCUCCACGGCCACCCUCAUCAGCCAUGACUCCCGUGACAUUCUGAAGUCUGCUGAUGGCCUUGUGGUAAUGGAGCCAAGGCCCCGGAAUCCUCCCUCAGUGGCCUGCAGCUGCCUGUGGGUGCUUAAGACGGACAAUGGCCAGCUUAUUUGAGUGCUACCUUCCAAAUGUUUUGUAAAACUUUUCACAUCUCCCUUACCACAAGGAAUUCCUUAUAACACUCAAGGUCAAGGAGUUGUUAAAUGUGCUCAUGUUGGCUCAAAAUUCAGUUACAAAAGCAAAAAGGAGGAUUCUUCCCCACAAAAUGCAUGCCUCGUAAUAGACUUCACUUAGCAGUGUGUACUGUUAACUUUUUAAAUCCUGCUAGGGAUGAGAAACUGAACAGAAAGACAAUUCAGUCAGGUAAAGGAAAAGAAGCUAGAAAGGGCCCUUUGGGAAGAUCCUUAUACUGGACCAUGAGGGGGACCCAGCCCAGUACUUGUUUGGGGUUGGGGCUAUGUCUGUGUCUGUGUCUUUCCAGAGAGUGCUAAAGGGCCUAUCUUGGCACCAGAGCAUGCUGUCCAGCUGUAUUCAUGGACCCAAACCUGGAGAAGGAAUUGGUUCCAUCUUUCAAGAAGCUGAUUCUCAGUCCUGUGGCACAGAUGCCUCAGAGUCUGCCCACAGAUGAUGGACAAGGACAGGGCCAGACCCAACCUGAAGCCCAAGAGCUGGUAACAAAAGAUGAGAAAGUCUGAGUAGGUCAAAGCGAGCGAGCAGCUGAGCAGCCCAGCUGUGAGUCUUACUCAGGUGCUCUGCUGAUCAUUUCAGGAUGGCAGCUGCAGAACCGCUCAUACUUCUUCUGUUAGACAAGGAAGUUUAUCCUGAACUCAAAGGUGUUUGGGUCGGGCAAGGGCACCCCGAGCCUGCAGGCCACAUGCGACAUCAGGACACACCGAGGAUGAUACGGAGACUGCAUCCUAUCCUUCUCCCCAGGCAGCACCAGCAAGUCAGAUCUGAAGUUGAGUUACUGAGGUCGGUGUCUGUCCAGCCAAACCCCGGUGGGCCACGAGGUGACCAGGAAUAACUUUUAGAAAACCCCUAAGAGACGCAUGAAGGGCAAAGGUGGGGAAACUGAGGCUCGGAGCCUCAGUCACACAGCCAAGCUGGGAAGACAGCAGCCCUGUAGCUUCUCGGGAGCGUUCAACAACACAGGGUAUUACUGUGCGUGUCCAUAUGAAGCAUCCUUUACUGCUAUGGAGAAAGGAUCAGGGGCACAAGCAAUGCACGGCCCGUCCUUGAUAUUCUGGGCUCUCCCCAGCUAACUGUAUCCUCAUGCUGUGCCACGAUACCCCUAAAGGACUUCCUCCUAGAAUGCUCUCUCCCAUGGAUGCCCAGCCUUGCCAUCCCAGAAUUCCCCUUUUUGGCUUCCUUUUCCUGUUUCAGUUGUCAUCGAGAGCAUCCUCCAUCUGCAGGUACACAUUUCAUCCUCGGGCGGGGAGCACACAGGUUUGAGGACAUGAGAGGUACAGGCCAAUGUAACUGUCCAGACCCUGGGAUGCAUUUGUGAGGCCGUUGCUGGGUUCUUAGUAACAGGAAUUGUCUUGUGUAUAGCUUAGGUCCCCAUUUGAGUUAAGGUAGAGUGGCACAGGAAUCUUCACUGCCUGUCUGAUCACACUGGAGGUUUUUGAAAACAAAAAACAGCAAAAACCGCCAACACUUCUGAAAGCACAGGGACGUGUUCUGUAUGGGGAGGGGUUGGAUAAGGUUGGCCAGAGCGGGAGAGUGACAGCAACACUGAAGCAUUUAGAAAGGAGCCAACCCAGGGUGCCUCAAACAGCCCCCGUGCUGCCCUUGCGGAUGCUGUCUUGCAGGAUCUGAGAGACAAAAGACGCUGAACUUCUUUGACUCCAUUGGUUGGACUCUGAUCCCUUGGGUUUAAUACUUCAGCUUCUUUCCAAAAAUUACAAAUGUGAUCUUCUGCCUGCAUUAUUAAAAUUCAGAGGAAGCCUAAAGGUGCAGCCCCAACAGGUGACCUCACCUUGCAAGUAACCUGCCGCCCAAUGCAGGAUGAGUCCCUUGCCCAAUGCGGGAGGCAGGCAGCAAAGUCCCCAGUGCAGUCUGGUGGGACUGUCCUACUGCAUGGCAGUGUCUCGAGUGGUGAGCCUUGGCACCCCAGCACCCUGGCACCCCAGCACCAUGGAGGUGCUGCAGACUGCAGGUGCCUGGUAGUGGAGUCCUUUCAGUAACCAUGAGAAGCCAAUAGUCUGUAUUUUUCUGUGAAUACUGAUUUUAGAGAGAUGGUAGUGAUACUGGCUUUUUCCGGAAUAUCCUGCAGGCCAUGAAAACCCCACCUGCAGCCAGUGCAUGCCAGUGCUGGUGUGUGGGGGGGUUGGAAAGGGGCACUUGCUGCCCUGCAGUGAGACUCGUGCACCCUCCAAGGUGUCAUUUGAGUGACAGCCAGAGGGAAGGUCGCCCAGAGCUCAUUGCUUACUUUGGGUCUCUGCCCUGCUCAGCCAGGUGAAGUGUGUUCCCCUUGAUGUCCUGGUCAGGCCAGGAAAGUCAUUGAGAAGCAUAUUUGGGAGAAGGCAGUAAUAAGACAGUCAAACUCUAAUCAUACCUGAGAUUUCAGUUUUUGAGAUGAGGUCUUACUAAGCUUCUCUGCUGAGUUGAAUGCCUGGGCUCAAGCAUCCUCUUGCCUCAGCCUUCAGAAGAGCUGGUACUGGUUGUGGAUUAGGGUUAGGGUUAGGGCCACUGCUCCCUACCUGACUCAGGUGGGAAGGCGGCCUUGGUGCAGCCACCCGCAGGUGAUGUCACCUGGCUUGUGAUAUGCAGCCCAGCCAGUUGGCAGCAGGCCAUUUGCCCAUUCUAGAAGCCACCGGCCAGCCUACCUGGAAUGUGGCAGGCUUAGGCACCUGUGUGACCUGCAGUGGUGCUGGGUCCCCCUGCAGGCCCACUCUGCCCCAGGUACAACCUUCCUGUCCUCAUUGAGGUGGGGCCAUUGGGACUGAACUAACAAAGCCCUAACCCAAGAAAUGAGGGUUUCCUGUAAUCAAAUACCUCAGAUGUGUGCGCAAAGCCAAGGGCCCCAGGGGGCUGUCAACCAUCCCAUCUGCCCACACUGGCUGCCCCUCUCCUCCUGAACCCCCCCGGACUUCCCGAGAGAGCAGGCCCUGUUUCCUCAGGCCUGGACUGUGCGAAGAUUUCUGGUGUCAUACAUCGAGGGAUGCUUAGUUUCCUGCUAAACCUUGCUUUCAACAUUUCCUGGGGACCUGGAACUAAAUACUCUGUGAGAAGUGUUGAAUAACAAGAGCCGUAUCUAAGUUCCAA